RNAcentral lists this ribosomal RNA (403 nucleotides) under uncultured bacterium. RNAcentral describes it as "partial 16S ribosomal RNA". It matches the Rfam family "Bacterial small subunit ribosomal RNA", at positions 28 to 526 of the family's 1533-position model. The record is from RNAcentral.
GACGAACGCUGGCGGCGUGCCUAAUACAUGCAAGUCGAACGCACUGGGGACGGGUGAGUAACACGUGGGUAACCUCCCAUCAGAGGGGAUAACACUUGGAAACAGGUGCUAAACCGAUACUGAUGGAUGGACCCGCGGUGCAUUAGCUAGUUGUUGAGGUAACGGCUCACCAAGGCCACGAUGCAUAGCGGACCUGAGAGGAUGAGCGGCCACACUGGGACUGAGACACGGUCCAGACUCCUACGGGAGGCAGCAGUGGGGAAUAUUGGGCAAUGGACGAAAGUCUGAACGAGCAACGCCGCGUGAGUGAAGAAGGUUUUCGGAUCGUAAAGCUCUGUUAGUAGGGAAGCGGUAUUUACAGAGAAAGCCCCGGCUAACUACGUGCCAGCAGCCGCGGUAAUAC